AUUGAACGCUGGCGGCAUGCCUUACACAUGCAAGUCGAACGGCAGCACGGGAGCAAUCCUGGUGGCGAGUGGCGAACGGGUGAGUAAUAUAUCGGAACGUGCCCAGUCGUGGGGAUAACGUAGCGAAAGCUACGCUAAUACCGCAUACGAUCUAUGGAUGAAAGCGGGGGAUCGCAAGACCUCGCGCGAUUGGAGCGGCCGAUAUCAGAUUAGGUAGUUGGUGAGGUAAAGGCUCACCAAGCCGACGAUCUGUAGCUGGUCUGAGAGGACGACCAGCCACACUGGGACUGAGACACGGCCCAGACUCCUACGGGAGGCAGCAGUGGGGAAUUUUGGACAAUGGGCGCAAGCCUGAUCCAGCAAUGCCGCGUGCAGGAUGAAGGCCUUCGG
RNAcentral lists this ribosomal RNA (390 nucleotides) under uncultured bacterium. RNAcentral describes it as "bacterial SSU rRNA". It matches the Rfam family "Bacterial small subunit ribosomal RNA", at positions 30 to 421 of the family's 1533-position model. The record is from RNAcentral.